AGGGGAGACGGAAAGGGCGCUGGAAGAUCUUCUCAAUCCGGUUGCAUGUGCAUGGAGGUCCACGGUCGGUCACGGAUGCGUGCUCGAGCAGNNNNNNNNNNNNNNNNNNNNAUCUACCAUGUACACAUUCCCAUGCCUAUGUCCAGAAAAAAUAAUGCUACUGUUAUGGGGUUCAGAAAUUAAGCACAUAGAGGAUUCAAAGGUUACUUUAUAGCCUUUAUCACAGAAUUGACUAAUGCUUAGCAAAUUAUGUUUUAGUCCAUCAACUAAUAAAACAUUUGCAAUGUAAGAGGAUGGAGUGAUUCGAAUGUUACCUGUACCAAUUAUUUUACCUUUGCCAUUAUCACCAAAAGUAACCAUUCCCCCAUUUUUCUUUUUAAGGGUGAUGAUCUGAGCUUCAUCCCCUGUCAUGUGUCUAGAACACCUGCUGUCCAAGUACCAUCUUCUGUUGGAUCCUUGGGUAGCUAGACACACCUGCAAAACACCAAUCAAAUUUUCAUCCUAGGUUUCCAAGCUCUUUUGGAUCCUUGCUGGUUAGCAAUAAUGCUUCCUCUUGGAACCCAGAUUUUCUUAAAAGAUAUGUUGCUAACAAGAUUGCAGGUUUUUAGAUUACAAGGUGUAUAUUGCAGUGUGCUUUUGUUGAGUCUAAAUGGAAUGGUUUCAGCAUACACAGAUGAUAGAUUUUCAGGGAUGCUUUUAACAUAUUUCUGUUUCUGCUCAUCAGAUUUGUAGUGAACUAUUUCAGGAUAAAUAGAGGAGGAUUUAACAAACAUGUUUUUGUGUGAUUUUUGUUUGUUCCAAGGGUGAUAUCCCAAACCAGCCUUAUCAAACACAACUCUUUGAUUAUCUAAAAUUAAGUUCAGUUUUUCAGAGCUGAGGGUAAAUCUUUGAACAAAAGGUUUUAAUUUGUUAAUUUCUUUGAUUAACUUUUCAUUAAUUUCUGAAAGCUGCUCACUAUUUUUCUGAAUUUUAACAUUGCUUUCAGUAAGAAGUUGAUUUUUCUAUUUUAAUUCUUUAUUUCUUAGAACAAGUUUUUUUGUAUUCUAAGAGAAGAUCAGAAAAGGCAUCAUGAAGUUCUUCAAAUGAAAAGUUAAUUUGAGUUUCAGCACAUACCUCAUCUUCAUGUGCCAUAAAGCAUUGAAGUGCAGUUUCUUGUUGUUGCUCUUCUUCUUCAGAGCUCGUUUCGUCACUGUCACUCCAAGUGGCCAUCAUGGCCUUCUUUUUGUACUUUUUAGGAGCCUUUGUGAGUAGUGAACAUUCAGUUCUGAAGUGAUCCGGUUUCUUCUUACAUUCAUAAUAGGUCACUUGCUGCUCCU
RNAcentral lists this long non-coding RNA (1316 nucleotides) under Phoenix dactylifera (date palm). RNAcentral describes it as "long non-coding RNA (PDAC_LNC009287)". The record is from RNAcentral. Lineage: Eukaryota; Viridiplantae; Streptophyta; Magnoliopsida; Arecales; Arecaceae.